This 3127-nucleotide ribosomal RNA is filed under the name Streptomyces sp. 19. RNAcentral describes it as "bacterial LSU rRNA". It matches the Rfam family "Bacterial large subunit ribosomal RNA". The record is from RNAcentral. Lineage: Bacteria; Bacillati; Actinomycetota; Actinomycetes; Kitasatosporales; Streptomycetaceae.
UGUGGCCAAGUUUUUAAGGGCGCACGGUGGAUGCCUUGGCACCAGGAACCGAUGAAGGACGUGGGAGGCCACGAUAGGCCCCGGGGAGUCGUCAACCAGGCUUUGAUCCGGGGGUGUCCGAAUGGGGAAACCCGGCAGUCGUCAUGGGCUGUCACCCGCUGCUGAACACAUAGGCAGUGUGGAGGGAACGCGGGGAAGUGAAACAUCUCAGUACCCGCAGGAAGAGAAAACAACCGUGAUUCCGGGAGUAGUGGCGAGCGAAACCGGAUGAGGCCAAACCGUAUACGUGUGAGACCCGGCAGGGGUUGCGUGUGCGGGGUUGUGGGAUCUCUCUUUUACGGUCUGCCGGCCGUGAGACGAGUCAGAAACCGUUGAUGUAGGCGAAGGACAUGCGAAAGGUCCGGCGUAGAGGGUAAGACCCCCGUAGUCGAAACGUCAACGGCUCGUUUGAGAGACACCCAAGUAGCACGGGGCCCGAGAAAUCCCGUGUGAAUCUGGCGGGACCACCCGCUAAGCCUAAAUAUUCCCUGGUGACCGAUAGCGGAUAGUACCGUGAGGGAAUGGUGAAAAGUACCGCGGGAGCGGAGUGAAAUAGUACCUGAAACCGUGUGCCUACAAGCCGUGGGAGCGUCGGACAUCAAGCUUGCUUGGUGUCUCGUGACUGCGUGCCUUUUGAAGAAUGAGCCUGCGAGUUUGCGGUGUGUUGCGAGGUUAACCCGGGUGGGGAAGCCGUAGCGAAAGCGAGUCCGAAUAGGGCGUUUUUAGUAGCACGCUCAAGACCCGAAGCGGAGUGAUCUAGCCAUGGGCAGGUUGAAGCGGCUGUAAGAGGUCGUGGAGGACCGAACCCACCAGGGUUGAAAACCUGGGGGAUGACCUGUGGUUAGGGGUGAAAGGCCAAUCAAACUCCGUGAUAGCUGGUUCUCCCCGAAAUGCAUUUAGGUGCAGCGUCGUGUGUUUCUUGCCGGAGGUAGAGCACUGGAUAGGCGAUGGGCCCUACCGGGUUACUGACCUUAGCCAAACUCCGAAUGCCGGUAAGUGAGAGCGCGGCAGUGAGACUGUGGGGGAUAAGCUCCAUGGUCGAGAGGGAAACAGCCCAGAGCAUCGACUAAGGCCCCUAAGCGUACGCUAAGUGGGAAAGGAUGUGGAGUCGCACAGACAACCAGGAGGUUGGCUUAGAAGCAGCCACCCUUGAAAGAGUGCGUAAUAGCUCACUGGUCUAGUGAUUCCGCGCCGACAAUGUAGCGGGGCUCAAGCGUACCGCCGAAGUCGUGUCAUUGCAGCAAUACGGCCAACGCCGGCUGUGAUGGGUAGGGGAGCGUCGUGUGCCGGGUGAAGCAGCCGCGGAAGCGAGUUGUGGACGGUUCACGAGUGAGAAUGCAGGCAUGAGUAGCGAUACAAACGUGAGAAACGUUUGCGCCGAUUGACUAAGGGUUCCUGGGUCAAGCUGAUCUGCCCAGGGUAAGUCGGGACCUAAGGCGAGGCCGACAGGCGUAGUCGAUGGAUAACCGGUUGAUAUUCCGGUACCCGCUGUGAAGCGUCAAACAUCGAGCAUCGUGAUGCUAAGGCCGUGAAGCCGCCCUGAUCUCUUCGGAGUUGAGGGGAGUGGUGGAGCCGCCGAACCAAGCGGUUAGUAGGUGAGUGAUGGGGUGACGCAGGAAGGUAGUCCAUCCCGGGCGGUGGUUGUCCCGGGGUAAGGGUGUAGGCCGGUGUGUAGGUAAAUCCGCACACCUUGUGGCUGAGACCUGAUGCCGAGCCGAUUGUGGUGAAGUGGAUGAUCCUAUGCUGUCGAGAAAAGCCUCUAGCGAGUUUCAUGGCGGCCCGUACCCUAAACCGACUCAGGUGGUCAGGUAGAGAAUACCGAGGCGUUCGGGUGAACUAUGGUUAAGGAACUCGGCAAAAUGCCCCCGUAACUUCGGGAGAAGGGGGGCCACACCUGGUGACGAGUUUUGCACUCUGAGCUGGGGGUGGCCGCAGAGACCAGCGAGAAGCGACUGUUUACUAAAAACACAGGUCCGUGCGAAGCCGUAAGGCGAUGUAUACGGACUGACGCCUGCCCGGUGCUGGAACGUUAAGGGGACCGGUUAGUCACAUUUCGGUGUGGCGAAGCUGAGAACUUAAGCGCCAGUAAACGGCGGUGGUAACUAUAACCAUCCUAAGGUAGCGAAAUUCCUUGUCGGGUAAGUUCCGACCUGCACGAAUGGCGUAACGACUUCUCGACUGUCUCAACCAUAGGCCCGGUGAAAUUGCACUACGAGUAAAGAUGCUCGUUUCGCGCAGCAGGACGGAAAGACCCCGGGACCUUUACUACAGUUUGAUAUUGGUGUUCGGUUCGGCUUGUGUAGGAUAGCUGGGAGACUUUGAAGCUCGCACGCCAGUGUGGGUGGAGUCGUCGUUGAAAUACCAGUCUGGUCGUGCUGGAUGUCUAACCUGGGUCCGUGAUCCGGAUCAGGGACAGUGUCUGAUGGGUAGUUUAACUGGGGCGGUUGCCUCCUAAAGAGUAACGGAGGCGCCCAAAGGUUCCCUCAGCCUGGUUGGCAAUCAGGUGUUGAGUGUAAGUGCACAAGGGAGCUUGACUGUGAGACCGACGGGUCGAGCAGGGACGAAAGUCGGGACUAGUGAUCCGGCGGUGGCUUGUGGAAGCGCCGUCGCUCAACGGAUAAAAGGUACCCCGGGGAUAACAGGCUGAUCUUCCCCAAGAGUCCAUAUCGACGGGAUGGUUUGGCACCUCGAUGUCGGCUCGUCGCAUCCUGGGGCUGGAGUCGGUCCCAAGGGUUGGGCUGUUCGCCCAUUAAAGCGGUACGCGAGCUGGGUUUAGAACGUCGUGAGACAGUUCGGUCCCUAUCCGCUGUGCGCGUAGGAGUCUUGAGAAGGGCUGUCCCUAGUACGAGAGGACCGGGACGGACGAACCUCUGGUGUGCCAGUUGUCCUGCCAAGGGCAUGGCUGGUUGGCUACGUUCGGGAGGGAUAACCGCUGAAAGCAUCUAAGCGGGAAGCCUGCUUCGAGAUGAGGACUCCCACCCCCUUGAGGGGUUAAGGCUCCCAGUAGACGACUGGGUUGAUAGGCCGGAUCUGGAAGCACCGUGAGGUGUGGAGGUGACCGGUACUAAUAGGCCGAGGGCUUGUCCUC